CGAACCUACACAAGUCACACGCCUCUUCUCCUCAUGGCACACAUAAACCGAGGAAACACAAGAAGGGACAGGUCCAUUGCUUUCCUUGUCCUCGUCAUGGCGUUUGCUUGUACCAUGUCAUCCUGCCAUGCACGAGGUGGAGAGCCAUAUUGCAUAGGUCCGAUACUAGGAUGCUCUGAGCCUAGUUGAAUGGAAGAAUGCAACUUAAUAGACAAGGGUCUUCAUUCCUUCUAUUGCAACCACCUUGGACAAUGUUGUUGUUGGCCUCUAUAGUUUGAUUGGACACAACCAUUUUGGUUAUGGAUCCAUGACAUCGAAUGAAUCUUGAUCGUGCUUGUGUGAUGUAAUCUCGGUGAAUAAACUCCUUGAAUGGAAUGAGCCAUUAUUUUUUACGUAGACAGAAUAAAAUGUUCCUUUAGAAUGUGAUUAUUGGCAUCUGCUGUAGACCAUGUUUCUUGCAUGACCAAGUUUUCAGUCCAACCCUAAAGUAUGAAUAAUGUUGUUC
Triticum dicoccoides is the source of this 505-nucleotide long non-coding RNA. RefSeq lists it as uncharacterized. Lineage: Eukaryota; Viridiplantae; Streptophyta; Magnoliopsida; Poales; Poaceae. The transcript has 2 exons. The record is from RefSeq and is a predicted model, not a curated record.